UAGGGAAUCUUCGGCAAUGGGGGCAACCCUGACCGAGCAACGCCGCGUGAGUGAAGAAGGUUUUCGGAUCGUAAAGCUCUGUUGUAAGAGAAGAACGUGUGUGAGAGUGGAAAGUUCACACAGUGACGGUAACUUACCAGAAAGGGACGGCUAACUACGUGCCAGCAGCCGCGGUAAUACGUAGGUCCCGAGCGUUGUCCGGAUUUAUUGGGCGUAAAGCGAGAGCAGGCGGUUUAAUAAGUCUGAAGUUAAAGGCAGUGGCUUAACCAUUGUUCGCUUUGGAAACUGUUAAACUUGAGUGCAGAAGGGGAGAGUGGAAUUCCAUGUGUAGCGGUGAAAUGCGUAGAUAUAUGGAGGAACACAGGUGGCGAAAGCGGCUCUCUGGUCUGUAACUGACGCUGAGGCUCGAAAGCGUGGGGAGCAAACAGG
Molecule: ribosomal RNA, 429 nt
Filed under: bacterium
Lineage: Bacteria
Description: partial 16S ribosomal RNA
Rfam family: Bacterial small subunit ribosomal RNA
Source: RNAcentral